GAGGGUAUAGCUCAGUUGGUAGAGUGCCUGCUUCACAUGCAUGAGGUCCUGGGUUCAAUCCCCUGUACCUCCA
This is a non-coding RNA of Vicugna pacos (alpaca), 73 nucleotides long. Lineage: Eukaryota; Metazoa; Chordata; Mammalia; Artiodactyla; Camelidae. The record is from the annotation of a RefSeq genome assembly.